GCCGGCAUAGCUCAGCUGGUAGAGCAACUGAUUUGUAAUCAGUAGGUCCCGCGUUCGAAUCGUGGUGCCGGCACCA
This 76-nucleotide transfer RNA is filed under the name Gammaproteobacteria bacterium. RNAcentral's name for it is "tRNA-Thr". It matches the Rfam family "tRNA". From Rfam's summary of the family: Transfer RNA (tRNA) molecules are approximately 80 nucleotides in length. Their secondary structure includes four short double-helical elements and three loops (D, anti-codon, and T loops). Further hydrogen bonds mediate the characteristic L-shaped molecular structure. tRNAs have two regions of fundamental functional importance: the anti-codon, which is responsible for specific mRNA codon recognition, and the 3' end, to which the tRNAs corresponding amino acid is attached (by aminoacyl-tRNA synthetases). tRNAs cope with the degeneracy of the genetic code in two manners: having more than one tRNA (with a specific anti-codon) for a particular amino acid; and 'wobble' base-pairing, i.e. permitting non-standard base-pairing at the 3rd anti-codon position. The record is from RNAcentral. Lineage: Bacteria; Pseudomonadati; Pseudomonadota; Gammaproteobacteria. RNAcentral also lists the same sequence under 2 other names.